Chionomys nivalis (European snow vole) is the source of this 1954-nucleotide long non-coding RNA. RefSeq lists it as uncharacterized. The record is from RefSeq and is a predicted model, not a curated record. Lineage: Eukaryota; Metazoa; Chordata; Mammalia; Rodentia; Cricetidae. The transcript has 3 exons.
CUUCCAGAUCAGCUUCCUUCUCGUUCCAUCUCUACGUGCCCAGAGCUUCAAAUACAGCCCUCCCAGUCAGACUGCCACAAAACUUCAAUCAGCUGCUUUUCCGCCUGGAAGAGAUGGACAUAGAACCUAGAUGGCAUUUCAGAGAACAGCUCCUUGCCGGCAGAGUCAAAAAUGAAGAGUUCCUGAGACCAGAAAAGUGCAUCUCAGAAGGGGACACGGCAAGAGUCAAGUCAAGGUUUCCCACCAGCUCUCUGUGGACGUGGCUCAACAGCAGACAGAGCAAACAUGCCAUGCGCAUGGGGGCUUUUACACAUGCUCUGCCUCCUCCGAGUCCCAGAGAGACAGCGAGCACAGUCCAGAGUGCCUGAAGGGCAGAGGCAUAGCUUCCACCCACCUGGCAUCGUGACCUGGCUCACCUUUCCCAACCCCAAGCACAAACAUCGCAGGAGCAGCCUGACUGCCCACCUGGCGGCCCAGAACACUAAGCAGGCUGACAAGUGUGCCGGUGUCCAGAAGGCCACUCUGUACUCCGUUAACCAAAUGGAUUCUCAGAUCACAUAAGGAUUCUUGAUAAAGGAGGUCACGGAGGAAGCCUGGGGACGGUGGGGACUCUCCAGCCCCAGCUUACCAGAGUGUAGUUCUUCUGGAAAUGGGUCCCGUCGCUGCGGAACAUCUGCACCAGGGCUGUCUUGCCUACGGCUGGAUCUCCUGAAGCCAGAGCAGAGGGACAGAUAUCACUCGGGUCCCAUCAGGCACGAGAGCCUCCUCCUACUCCAGAGGGCUUGACACGAAACCAGAAACUUCGCUGAGUUUUCAGAGCGUGUAUCUGCAGCUCUUGCGAUAAGCAGGGAGGUAGCCAGCGGGGUAACUGGUCCAGGAGACCCAUCUUGAGAGCUUACCAAGGCCAUACUACAUCUCUGUACACCUCACAGCCCUGUCAACCAGAAUGACCUAGCAGGUAACAGGGUUUAAGGAGGGCUCCUGAGCCCUGGCAACAGAAGUGACACUCUUCCACCAAAGCACACCCCAUGGGAAAACCUGUCACUUUCAAACUCCAAUUUGCUCUAGAGUCUGGCCAGCAAAAAGGAAUGAGAAGCCAACUCGUGACCUCACCUGGCUGAGCCACUGCCUGCGUUCUCAUCUACGCUGACGGUAAAGAUGUCCAGAGGUUGCCUUCACUCUGCGAAAACUCAUUUUCUUCUGCUCAUUUUUUAUUAACAUUUCUUCUUUUAUUUUAUAUACUGAUCAGUUUCCCCUCCUUCCUCCCCCCCACUCUCAUCUACCCCCUCCCUAUCUACCAACUUCUCCUCUGUCUCCACUCAGAAAGGAGCAGGCCUCCCAUGGGCUUGAGCACAGCAUGACACAUCACGGUGAGGUAGGACCGAGCUCCUCCCACAAGGUGAUCCAGCAUGGAGGACAGGUUCCUAAAAUCCUGCUAAGCGCCAGGGACAGGCCCUGAUCUCCCUUCUAGGAGCCUGACAAACAGACCAAGCUACACAACUGUCACACGCAUGCAAAGGGUCUAGGUCGGCCCCAUGCAGGCUCCCUAACUGUUGGUCCAGAGUCCAUGUGCUCCCACAAUCUUAGGUCAGCUGUCUCUGUUGCCUCCUCCAUCAUGACUUGGUGAAAACUAAUUUUUUUUUUCCAAGACAGGUUUUCUCUGUGUAGUCCUGGCUGCCCUGGAACUCACUUUGUAAGCCAGGCUGGCCUCGAACUCAGUGAGAUCUGCCUGUCUCUGCCUCCCAAGUACUGACAUUAAAGGCGUGCACCAUCAUCACCCAGCAAAAACCCAUUUUCAAGUGAUGUACUUCAUUUCAUUGUGCUAGGUGAAUGCUGAGCCAUGGACUUAGGAGCAUCCCCUGCCACCGCCACCCCGCAUCCGCAGUCAUAUCCUAUAGCCACCUGGCCCAGCUGGGCUGAGCCCUUCUCAGUCUUUGUUCAAGCAGCUCCAGGA